UGGGGAAUAUUGGACAAUGGGCGAAAGCCUGAUCCAGCCAUGCCGCGUGUGUGAAGAAGGUCUUCGGAUUGUAAAGCACUUUAAGUUGGGAGGAAGGGCAGUAAGUUAAUACCUUGCUGCUUUGACGUUACCGACAGAAUAAGCACCGGCUAACUCUGUGCCAGCAGCCGCGGUAAUACAGAGGGUGCAAGCGUUAAUCGGAAUUACUGGGCGUAAAGCGCGCGUAGGUGGUUUGUUAAGUUGGAUGUGAAAGCCCCGGUCUCAACCUGGGAACUGCAUCCAAAACUGGCAAGCUAGAGUACGGUAGAGGGUGGUGGAAUUUCCUGUGUAGCGGUGAAAUGCGUAGAUAUAGGAAGGAACACCAGUGGCGAAGGCGACCACCUGGACUGAUACUGACACUGAGGUGCGAAAGCGUGGGGAGCAAACA
RNAcentral lists this ribosomal RNA (427 nucleotides) under uncultured bacterium. RNAcentral's name for it is "partial 16S ribosomal RNA". It matches the Rfam family "Bacterial small subunit ribosomal RNA", at positions 355 to 774 of the family's 1533-position model. The record is from RNAcentral.